This is a non-coding RNA of Pelobates cultripes (western spadefoot toad), 259 nucleotides long. The record is from the annotation of a GenBank genome assembly. Lineage: Eukaryota; Metazoa; Chordata; Amphibia; Anura; Pelobatidae.
AAAUGAAAUUACGAAAAUUUAAUGAGACAUUUUCAUCUCUCUCCAUGAUCCGUUCCACUGCAACUAAACCCUUAUUAUGCUUUAUUAUUGUAUACAAUGAAGUAACAUCUAUGGUUACCCAAACAUUAUCUGGUUCCCAGACUACAUUCUCCAUAAUUCUCAAAACAGGGGCAGUGUCUUUUAAAUAAGAGGGUGCUUCCUGAGAGUAUCUUUGAAGAUGAUGGUCUACAAAUUCAGAUAGAUGAGCAGAUAUAGAGUU